Molecule: long non-coding RNA, 2008 nt
Organism: Oncorhynchus tshawytscha (Chinook salmon)
Lineage: Eukaryota; Metazoa; Chordata; Actinopteri; Salmoniformes; Salmonidae
Source: Ensembl
CCCCAGCCAGCCAAUCAGCCUGUAUCCUUCCAGCCAGCCCAUCAGCCUGUAUCCCUCCAGCCAGCCCAUCAGCCUGUAUCCCUCCAGCCAGCCCAUCAGCCUAUAUCCCCACAGCCAGCCAGACCAUCAGCCUGUAUCCCCCAGCCGUCCAGACCAUCAGCCUGUAUCUCCACAGCCAACCCCCAAGCCUCCCAGUCUGUAUCUCCCCCAGCCAGCCAUCAGCCUGUAUCCCUCCAGCCAGCCCAUCAGCCUGUAUCCCUCCAGCCAGCCCAUCAGCCUGUAUCCCUCCAGCCAGCCCAUCAGCCUGUAUCCCUCCAGCCAGCCCAUCAGCCUGUAUCCCUCCAGCCAGACCAUCAGCCUGUAUCCCCACAGCCAGCCCAUCAGCCUGUAUCCCUCCAGCCAGACCAUCAGCCUGUAUCCCCACAGCCAGCCCAUCAGCCUGUAUCCCUCCAGCCAGCCCAUCAGCCUGUAUCCCUCCAGCCAGACCAUCAGCCUGUAUCCCCACAGCCAGCCCAUCAGCCUGUAUCCCUCCAGCCAGACCAUCAGCCUGUAUCCCCACAGCCAGCCCAUCAGCCUGUAUCACUCCAGCCAGCCCAUCAGCCUGUAUCCCUCCAGCCAGACCAUCAGCCUGUAUCCCCACAGCCAGCCAGCCUUUAUCUCUACAGUGUUUACGCCUGAUUCCACUAUGUGUUUAAUAUGAACUGUAAUAAUUCUGGAACAUUUCCUGUAUGGUUUACAAGUUGGGGGGGUUCAGCUUUAAUUAUUGCAACUUUGGGAUAGAUCAACAUACUGCUCUCAGGACAAGGAUUGGGAAUAGAAAGGGGAGCUCAAGGUUUAAGGACAAAGUUGAGGUUUUGAGUUCUGAACAAAUGUGUACACAACUGAUUUACAAUGAUUGUUUCUCUUGUAGUGGAUAGAGCAUCACAAGAGUCUCAGUAAUGUAUGUUUCUUAACUGACCACAAAGUCCAGGACACUUCGUUGACUGUUAGCUCUCAUAUUGGAUAACAAGGACUUAUUAUUUAGAGUGUUUGAUGAAGAACAUGACUGUAUUUACAGACUGGUGACAUGAUGUUAUAUCCUGUAUAUUGUACAUAGAUAAGCCCUGUUAAUAUUCAUGUUUAUUCGAUUUUAAGGUUAUUUUUUAAAAACAUUUACAGGGUUCACAAUGUAGAGAAAUGAGAGAACCAAAACAAACAAAAAAAUACUAUGUCAAGUGGUCUCUCCACCACAAUAGUUGUUUUAAUAAAUUAUUUUCACUCUGUAUUAUUUACUGACAAAAAAGAUGAGGAGAUGCUCGGUGUGCGGUGCUGUUGACUUUGGUGACAUUGAACCAAUCUACUAGAGUUUCUUUCGUUUGGGUGUUGGGUUAUCGCUAAUUAUGUUUGGAUGGCUUUAUCCCGCAGGGUUGGCUGCUCUCCCCUAUUCAUUAGAGCUGCAGACACCCUCCAUUAGCUCUCGAGAUAGCUACUGGCGUUGAGAGUGAAGUGGAGGAGGAGACCCUCAUUAAACGACUCAACCAGUGAAUGCACUGUUGAUACAACGUGUUGAUACAGUGAAGCAUACCACCAACGAGCAACAAGUCACGCUGGUGCCUCAAGGGCUACGUUCAGUGGACAAGCUUUGUUCAAUGUUGCAGAUAAUAAUGCCAUGAAUAUAACCGAUGUGAUUCCAGUCGGAGGCAUGUUGUUCUUCACAUACUAUAUUUCUAUCUGCAAAGCUUGACAACGUUUUACUACUGAACGUGGCCUAGGUUUGUCUGGCAAUUUAUCAACAUUUACAUUCAUAUUGUCAACAUGCACUGACUGUACAAAGCAUAAAGAACACCUGCUCUCGGAACAUUUUCGUAUUCUUCUGUGCAUAAAUCCGAGACACUCCCAUUUAGUAUAUGUAUUAGUUUGUGGAUGUCCAUUACCCAUUUUGUUUGAUAUGUUACGGUUUACAAUUUAUCUGUUAUUUUACCAGGUAAGUUGACUGAGAACACAUUCUCAUGAGCCAAUUGUAAACUGG